AAUAAAGGAGUGAUUACUCUAAGUUCUUGAAAAGAGAGUCACACCAUGUGUAGAUGAAAUAACAUUUUGUUAAUGACAUCAAGAGGCCAGGAAGCCCAGACAGUCACCAGAAGAAUACUAUUCACGUCAAAUGACUUGAUUUUCUUUUGUGCAGCAAAAUUCGUCAGAUGUAUUUGCCAAACCCAAAUACUUAAACUCCUUCCAUCCACUGAAAGACAAAGGCAAGUAUACACUUUCUCAUACUGGAGAUUCUUCCAGCAACAUCACGUUAACUCAGUUUCUAUCAACCGAGUAAGGCCAGGAAUCAUAAAAUCAAAGAACACUGUUUGGAGCAACUUGACAUUUAGAGGUAAAUGUCAGAGAAGAAAGUAUACUUCAUAUCAGAUGAGAUAUUCUGACCCAGGAGCAGAACAAGGUGGUCACAGCAGCUUUAUCAUUGCCUCCUUUAUCUUGAAUUCAUGGAAGAUUUAUUUCAAUGUGGUUUGAGUGUAACACAUUGCACCCUAAAUGCAAAAGAAUUGGUUUUGAUGGAAAUCUUGUCAGUUGCUCCUUCUUCUCAUGACCACAAGAUGUGCUUUCCUUUUUCAUAAAAUGACCUUGUCCACACAGCCUUUCCAAUCAUGGACUGGAAUAAGGAAACUUCACAAGCUCACCUUCAGUGACUGAGUUGACUUUCUUUUCAAAAGGUUCUCAGUGCGUAUUUCCUAAAGAAAAGGCAUUUUCCUUCCAAAUUUUUCAGUUGGAUUUUAUGCUUCUUUUUUUUUUGCUUCAUGGGUUCAAUCCCUUCACUUUGAAAGUUAAGCUGAGGUAAAAUAAAAAUUUCCAUUUCGAUAGCUUUGUAGCCAUUUAUGAGGAAGGACAAUAAUGUGAUUUGAUGUGAAACGGAGCAUUUUACAGUUUACAGUGUAUUUUCACGUGGUCUCCAACCCAGAAACUGAAGUGACCAGGUGGAAUUUGGGCAGAGAUAAGGAAAGUGAAGUCAUUCACCAAAGCAAAGCCAGUACAGCAGAAUCAGGGUUACUUUAGGACUUGGGUCCUAGCACAUGCCUGCAGCUCCAUGACAGCCUCGAAUGCUGUAUACAACCCUAAGAAAUCUUUAUGAGAUUCGAUGCAUGGUUUAUUGUUGGUUCCCCUGAUUCUAUCUAUGUGAGAGGGGAGUGGAAGGGCAGUUUGGUUAUCAGCUUCCAGGGUUGUGCCUGCAACAUCUCGAUUGUCUCCGUCACACCUGAAGAUGCUUUUUGGAAGUUAUUUGCAUAUAUAGCCAGAGCUGCUUUAGGACGAGGGACAGAGCAGCAAGUGAGGGAAUGCUAAGAAGCUGCACUUCCCUCCCAUAACUCUGUCACUUUGAGCUCAACCCAGCAUCAGCCCUCACUUUAGUGCCUAGAAGAUCCAAGCUUCAGAGUCCACUGCCUGUUUUGAAAGCUACUGUGCUAAGAGUGUCCGUUAGUUUCUAACACUCAAAGCCUUCACGAUAGGCAGAUAAAGAUACUGCAGGGAACUUCUACUAAUGGGCAUGGGUUAAACAAGCACAUGUAGAGAAAAUUUGAGUUCAAAUUUCCACAAAG
This 1565-nucleotide long non-coding RNA is filed under the name Heterocephalus glaber (naked mole-rat). Its description in RNAcentral is "lncRNA (ENSHGLG00000039614.1)". Lineage: Eukaryota; Metazoa; Chordata; Mammalia; Rodentia; Bathyergidae. The record is from RNAcentral.